RNAcentral lists this ribosomal RNA (466 nucleotides) under uncultured bacterium. RNAcentral's name for it is "partial 16S ribosomal RNA". It matches the Rfam family "Bacterial small subunit ribosomal RNA", at positions 30 to 507 of the family's 1533-position model. The record is from RNAcentral.
CGAACGCUGGCGGCGUGCUUAACACAUGCAAGUCGAACGGCAAGGCCCUGCUUUUGUGGGGUGCUCGAGUGGCGAACGGGUGAGUAACACGUGAGUAACCUGCCCUUGACUUUGGGAUAACUUCAGGAAACUGGGGCUAAUACCGGAUAGGAGCUCCUGCUGCAUGGUGGGGGUUGGAAAGUUUCGGCGGUUGGGGAUGGACUCGCGGCUUAUCAGCUUGUUGGUGGGGUAGUGGCUUACCAAGGCUUUGACGGGUAGCCGGCCUGAGAGGGUGACCGGCCACAUUGGGACUGAGAUACGGCCCAGACUCCUACGGGAGGCAGCAGUGGGGAAUAUUGCACAAUGGGCGGAAGCCUGAUGCAGCAACGCCGCGUGCGGGAUGACGGCCUUCGGGUUGUAAACCGCUUUCGCCUGUGACGAAGCGUGAGUGGCGGUAAUGGGUAAAGAAGCACCGGCUAACUACGUG